This 50-nucleotide transfer RNA is filed under the name Grandidierella osakaensis. RNAcentral describes it as "tRNA-Gln". Lineage: Eukaryota; Metazoa; Arthropoda; Malacostraca; Amphipoda; Corophiidae. The record is from RNAcentral.
UUUAUCUUGGUGUUAAGCACGUAAAUUUUUGGUAUUUAAGGUAGGGAAAA